Herpailurus yagouaroundi (jaguarundi) is the source of this 1146-nucleotide long non-coding RNA. RefSeq lists it as uncharacterized. NCBI's taxonomy places the organism in Eukaryota, Metazoa, Chordata, Mammalia, Carnivora, Felidae. The record is from RefSeq and is a predicted model, not a curated record. The transcript has 3 exons.
CCCAGGGCUGGGGGCUCGGGGGGAAGGGCGGAGGCGUUCGACUCGGGGCUGACCACCCCAACUCUGCACCUUACGUCCUCCUUAUCUGUGCAAUGGGAGCGGUCGUUCCUGCCUCACUGCGUUGUGGCGUUAUUUUAAAGGGGCUUUCGAAGGGAUCGAAAGUAAAAAGCCAGCAUAGGAACUUCAAUAUGCUUUUAAAAUACUUUGGAUACUUAUCGAGCGCCUACUAGAUGCGCCGCCCUAGCGCAGAAGGCUGGAAUGGGCUGAAAGGGGAAAACGAAACGUCACCCACAGUUUAGGUCUUCCUGGGCAUCUGCGCGGGACACCCUGAAGCUAAGAUUUCUCCUCCACUGCUCUGUCCUUAUGAGGGGCAGUGUGGCAUCGUGACAGAGGUAGGCCUUUGGAAUCAAGUAGAACCUGCAUUCAGUUCUGGUAAGUUACUUAAAUUCUGGGGACUCUAGACAUUUUCUUUGUGAAAAAAAGAAUUUCCUUUGUAAUUGGUAUGUUAGGCCCCCAGGACCGCCCUCAGGUUCACGAUUUGCUAGAAAGACUCACGCACCUCAGAAAAGCUGUUACACUUGUGGUUACAGUUUAUUACAGCAAAAGAGUAAUGCUUAAAAUUGGCAAAGGAAAAAAGUGCAUCAGGCAGAGUCCAGCAGAGACCAGAUGUGUGGUUCUAGUUGUCCUCACCCAGGGGAGUCCUACAGACAGAGCUUGACUCUCCCAGGGAUGAUGUAUGACAGUGCACACAAAUGUUGCUAACCAUCUGAGCCUUGGUGUCCAGGGUUUUUACUGAGGGUCAGUUGUAUAGGCGUGGAGCACCGGCAUGACCGGCCACAGGUAUGUAGUCUUCGCUACCACUCCCCCACCCCAGUCAGUCAGACUAAAAUAGCGUGGCCAAGGCCCCAGACAAAUGAAAACAGGCAUUCAUCCCAAGUCACAUUGUUAGCAUAAGCUAUCUGGUGUGACCCAAGGCCCUGAGUAUAGAAAGACAUCUUAUCAGGCAGGAUAUUCCAAGGGUUUAUAGGUUAUCUCCCAGAGCCAACCAAAGGCCAGUCCUUUCUUUGGACUGUGCAGAGUUUGAGGACUCCAGUCCUGCUGAUUUAAUCCUUUACUGCAUAGUUAGUUUAAAAAAUUACCGUGCAA